This 243-nucleotide ribosomal RNA is filed under the name uncultured bacterium. RNAcentral describes it as "partial 16S ribosomal RNA". It matches the Rfam family "Bacterial small subunit ribosomal RNA", at positions 118 to 351 of the family's 1533-position model. The record is from RNAcentral.
UGGGUAACCUGCCUCAAAGAGGGGAAUAACCUCCCGAAAGGGAGAUUAAUACCGCAUAAUAUGUUUUGGUCACGUGGCCUUAACAUCAAAGGAUUUCUUCGGAAAUCCACUUUGAGAUGGACCCGCGGCGCAUUAGCUAGUUGGUGAGGUAACGGCUCACCAAGGCGACGACGGGUAGCUGGUCUGAGAGGAUGACCAGCCACAUUGGGACUGAGAUACGGCCCAGACUCCUACGGGAGGCAG